AUUGAACGCUGGCGGCAUGCUUUACACACGCAAGUCGAACGGUAACAGGCCGCAAGGUGCUGACGAGUGGCGAACGGGUGAGUAAUGCAUCGGAACGUGCCCAGUCGUGGGGGAUAACUAUCCGAAAGGAUAGCUAAUACCGCAUACGAUCUGCGGAUGAAAGCGGGGGACCUUCGGGCCUCGCGCGAUUGGAGCGGCCGAUGUCAGAUUAGGUAGUUGGUGGGGUAAAGGCUCACCAAGCCAACGAUCUGUAGCUGGUCUGAGAGGACGACCAGCCACACUGGGACUGAGACACGGCCCAGACUCCUACGGGAGGCAGCAGUGGGGAAUUUUGGACAAUGGGCGCAAGCCUGAUCCAGCAAUGCCGCGUGCAGGAAGAAGGCCUUCGGGUUGUAAACUGCUUUUGUACGGAACGAAACGGCUCUGGUUAAUACCUGGGGCUAAUGACGGUACCGUAAGAAUAAGCACCGGCUAACUACGUGCCAGCAGCCGCCGUAA
Molecule: ribosomal RNA, 498 nt
Filed under: uncultured bacterium
Lineage: Bacteria
Description: partial 16S ribosomal RNA
Rfam family: Bacterial small subunit ribosomal RNA
Source: RNAcentral